UGGGCGUAAGCGCGCGCAGGUGGUUUCUUAAGUCUGAUGUGAAAGCCCACGGCUCAACCGUGGAGGGUCAUUGGAAACUGGGAGACUUGAGUGCCCAAGAGGAAAGUGGAAUUCCAUGUGUAGCGGUGAAAUGCGUAGAGAUAUGGAGGAACACCAGUGGCGAAGGCGACUUUCUGGUCUGUAACUGACACUGAGGCGCGAAAGCGUGGGGAGCAAACAGGAUUAGAUACCCUGGUAGUCCACGCCGUAAACGAUGAGUGCUAAGUGUUAGAGGGUUUCCGCCCCUUCGUGCUGAAGCUAACGC
This 304-nucleotide ribosomal RNA is filed under the name Bacillus cereus. RNAcentral describes it as "bacterial SSU rRNA". It matches the Rfam family "Bacterial small subunit ribosomal RNA", at positions 555 to 858 of the family's 1533-position model. Lineage: Bacteria; Bacillati; Bacillota; Bacilli; Caryophanales; Bacillaceae. The record is from RNAcentral.